RNAcentral lists this transfer RNA (66 nucleotides) under Abispa ephippium (large potter wasp). RNAcentral's name for it is "tRNA-Ser". The record is from RNAcentral. Lineage: Eukaryota; Metazoa; Arthropoda; Insecta; Hymenoptera; Vespidae.
AGUUAAUAAGCUUAAAGCAUUAUAUUUUGAAAAUAUAAUAUAGAAAUAAAAAUUUUCUAUUAACUU